This 76-nucleotide transfer RNA is filed under the name Minisyncoccota bacterium. RNAcentral describes it as "tRNA-Ile". It matches the Rfam family "tRNA". From Rfam's summary of the family: Transfer RNA (tRNA) molecules are approximately 80 nucleotides in length. Their secondary structure includes four short double-helical elements and three loops (D, anti-codon, and T loops). Lineage: Bacteria; Bacillati; Minisyncoccota. The record is from RNAcentral.
GCAAGCGUAGCUCAGUUGGUAGAGCACUCGACUGAUACUCGAGCGGUCAUAGGUUCGAACCCUAUCGCUUGCACCA